Molecule: ribosomal RNA, 253 nt
Filed under: uncultured bacterium
Lineage: Bacteria
Description: partial 16S ribosomal RNA
Rfam family: Bacterial small subunit ribosomal RNA (bases 27-253)
Source: RNAcentral
UACCAGCACCCCGAGUGGUCGGGACGUUUAUUGGGCCUAAAGCAUCCGUAGCCGGUUCUACAAGUCUUCCGUUAAAUCCACCUGCUUAACAGAUGGGCUGCGGAAGAUACUAUAGAGCUAGGAGGCGGGAGAGGCAAGCGGUACUCGAUGGGUAGGGGUAAAAUCCGUUGAUCCAUUGAAGAACACCGGUGGCGAAGGCGGCCUGCUGGGCAGUGGCUGACGCUGAGGCGCGACAGCGUGGGGAGCAAACAGG